This is a non-coding RNA of Pelobates cultripes (western spadefoot toad), 311 nucleotides long. NCBI's taxonomy places the organism in Eukaryota, Metazoa, Chordata, Amphibia, Anura, Pelobatidae. The record is from the annotation of a GenBank genome assembly.
GACAGAACACAAAGGGACAGUAGAAACAUGACAGGAUAGUACAUAUAGAGACUGUGAGGACAGGAUAUACAAUGACAUGGCCAAUGGCCAUAAGGACUUGAUAUCAGGUGUCUACAGGAAUCACAGAACCUUUCAACCUUCAACAAUCAGUGGAUUUACACUAAUAGGUAGUAUAUUGACCAUAGGUCCAUUAAAGAAACACUCUAAACAUGGUGUUGAGUUAAUAGUGCCAAUAGUGCCCUGCAACUGUGCCAUGGUAAGUAGUCAAACUGUUUUAGUGUGGUUUUCCAAAUUACCUGGGUACUUCAGGC